RNAcentral lists this ribosomal RNA (221 nucleotides) under uncultured bacterium. RNAcentral describes it as "partial 16S ribosomal RNA". It matches the Rfam family "Bacterial small subunit ribosomal RNA", at positions 111 to 334 of the family's 1533-position model. The record is from RNAcentral.
UAAUGUAUGGGGAUCUGCCCCGAUAGAGGGGGAUAACUACUGGAAACGGUGGCUAAUACCGCAUAAUGUCUACGGACCAAAGCAGGGGCUCUUCGGACCUUGCACUAUCGGAUGAACCCAUAUGGGAUUAGCUAGUAGGUGGGGUAAAGGCUCACCUAGGCGACGAUCUCUAGCUGGUCUGAGAGGAUGAUCAGCCACACUGGGACUGAGACACGGCCCAG